This 460-nucleotide ribosomal RNA is filed under the name uncultured bacterium. RNAcentral's name for it is "partial 16S ribosomal RNA". It matches the Rfam family "Bacterial small subunit ribosomal RNA", at positions 338 to 795 of the family's 1533-position model. The record is from RNAcentral.
CCUACGGGGGACAGCAGUGAGGAAUAUUGGUCAAUGGACGAGAGUCUGAACCAGCCAAGUAGCGUGAAGGAUGACUGCCCUAUGGGUUGUAAACUUCUUUUAUAUGGGAAUAAAAUGUUCCACGUGUGGGAUUUUGUAUGUACCAUAUGAAUAAGGAUCGGCUAACUCCGUGCCAGCAGCCGCGGUAAUACGGAGGAUCCGAGCGUUAUCCGGAUUUAUUGGGUUUAAAGGGAGCGUAGGUGGAUUGUUAAGUCAGUUGUGAAAGUUUGCGGCUCAACCGUAAAAUUGCAGUUGAAACUGGCAGUCUUGAGUACAGUAGAGGUGGGCGGAAUUCGUGGUGUAGCGGUGAAAUGCUUAGAUAUCACGAAGAACUCCGAUUGCGAAGGCAGUUCACUGGACUGCAACUGACACUGAGGCUCGAAAGUGUGGAUAUCAAACAGGAUUAGAUACCCUUGUAGUC